UACGUAGGGUGCAAGCGUUGUCCGGAAUUAUUGGGCGUAAAGGGCUCGUAGGCGGUUUGUCGCGUCGGGAGUGAAAACCUUGGGCUUAACUCAGGGCUUGCUUUCGAUACGGGCAGACUAGAGGUAUGCAGGGGAGAACGGAAUUCCUGGUGUAGCGGUGAAAUGCGCAGAUAUCAGGAGGAACACCGGCGGCGAAGGCGGUUCUCUGGGCAUGAUCUGACGCUGAGGAGCGAAAGUGUGGGGAGCGAACAGG
Molecule: ribosomal RNA, 253 nt
Filed under: uncultured bacterium
Lineage: Bacteria
Description: partial 16S ribosomal RNA
Rfam family: Bacterial small subunit ribosomal RNA
Source: RNAcentral